GGGAAAGACGUUCUGCUCCCUCCCUCCCUCCCAAAUUUCGCGCGAGAAAAAGCCCUAGGAGAUCCAUAACUCUCUCUCUUGCUUUUUGGAACAUUGAGGACAAUGCGGGGCCAAGAUUUUAUCAACACCAUCAUCCCUGAUGAGCUUCUCAUCGAGAUUUUCCGGCAUCUAGACGGUCGGAAAUCUCACCGAGAUGCGUGCUCUCUCGUCUGCAAGAGAUGGCACAGGCUCGAGAGCGACACGCGCGACACGAUCCGAAUCGGCGCGUCGGGUAGCCCGGACGCUUGUACAUCCGUCCUGGUGAAGCGAUUCGUUGAUCUAAGAAAUGUGUUCAUCGAUGAGAGGCUGCCUGUAUCCCUCCAAUUUCAGACGGGGUUUCCCCUCCGGAGCCAGCGUCUUCGUGACUAUGCCGGUUAUCGGCAAUUUAGAUCGAGAAUAGCUCGAAGGAAUGUUAACAAAGGACCUGGUUCUUCAAAACUACGGUAUACAGCAGAAAAUAGUGGAUCCGAGUCUGAGCUUGAACUUUGCAGUUUAUCUGAUGCAGGAUUGGCAGCUCUUGGAAGAGGCUGCCCCAAACUUGAAAAGUUAAGCUUAAUAUGGUGUUCAGCUGUGACAAGUGAUGGUUUGAAUUCCAUAGCAGGAAAUUGCAGACACUUAAAAGCUUUGGAUCUGCAGGGUUGCUAUGUGGGAGAUCAUGGCCUUGCUGCUAUAGGCCAGUUCUGCAAGAACCUUGAAGAUUUGAACUUGCGCUUUUGUGAAGGUGUAACCGAUAAAGGCUUGAUUGAGUUAGCUGUUGGUGUUGGGAAGUCAUUGAAGAGUAUUGGUGUUGCAACUUGUGCAAAAAUAACAGAUACCUCAUUGGAGAUUAUCGGUUCUCAUUGUCCCAAUCUUGAGAGCCUCUCUUUGGACUCAGAAGGCAUCAGAGACCAAGGUGUGGUUGCUAUAGCCCAAGGAUGUCCAUCCUUGAAGUCCUUAAGGCUGCAAUGCGUAAAUGUUACAGAUAAUACUUUGCAAGCCGUUGGUACCUACUGUUCGUCAUUGGUUUUGUUGGCCUUGAACAGCUUCCAGAAGUUCACUGACAGGAGCCUCUUUGCCAUCGGGAGUGGGUGUAAGAAACUUAAUGUUCUUACUUUGAGUGAUUGCUAUUUCUUGAGUGACAAAAGCCUUGCUGCUAUCGCCACUGGCUGUAGAGAGCUCACACGUCUUGAAGUAAAUGGUUGCCACAACAUAGGAACUUCUGGACUUGAAGCUAUUGGCAGGUCUUGCAGGGGACUAUCAGAACUUGUUCUUAUGUAUUGUCAAAGGAUCAGUGAUGAUGCACUUCUUGAAGUUGGACGUGGUUGUUCAUUGUUGCAAGCUUUAGAGCUGGUAGACUGUUCAAGCAUAGGGGAUGCUGCAAUAUGCAACAUUGCUCAGGGAUGCAAGAACUUGAAGAAACUUCACGUUCGACGUUGUUAUGAGAUUGGAGACAAGGGCAUCAUUGCAAUUGGUGAGAAUUGUAAGCUUUUGAGAGAUCUUAGCCUCAGAUUCUGUGACAGGAUUGGUGACGAUGCCUUGAUUGCUAUUGGACGUGGAUGCUCACUUCAGUUGUUGAAUGUCAGUGGUUGUCAUCAAAUUGGGGAUAUUGGAGUUACCGCAAUUGCCAAGGGCUGCCCUGAGUUGGUAUCUUUGGACAUCAGUGUAUGCCAGACUGUAGGUGAUAUGGCUUUGGCUGCAUUGGGUGAGGGUUGCCCAUUACUUAAAGAGAUAGUGUUGUCUCAUUGUCGAAAGGUUACCGACAUUGGUUUGUCUCACCUUGUGAAACGUUGCUCGGUACUGGAAUCUUGUCACAUGGUUUACUGCCCAUCAAUAACCUCAGCUGGGGUUGCUACUGUAGUUUCUAGCUGUCUUAACAUAAAGAAGGUACUCGUUGAGAAGUGGAAAGUUAGUCAAAGAACACGGAGGCGAGCUGCCCCUGUUUUAGCAGACUUGUGUUCAGAGUUGUGACUAACGUAGGCUGAGCUUUCAUUUGGCUGUGAUGUUCAAUAAAGAUUCAGAUCCAGAACAAAGUUUCAGUGGGAAGGAUUAAUUUUUCUUUAUGCAACCAAAAGGAGUUGACGACUGUUGAAGCUUAAUGUGGAGAACCUCACAAAAUCCCUAACCAAUCUGCAGCCGCUGUUCCAUGUGGUCACCACGGACAGGCUGCUUGUCAGCUUGGCUUCUUAUGUAGAUUGCCAAUGUAAAUUUGCUUCCUGUCAAAGCGUGUGGGAUGAUGCUCCUAGAUUCAUCUAGCGUGAAUUAAAGGGUGAAUUCAUUUGCAGUGGAACUAUUGAAAAUUGCAAGUAAACAUCAUUUCUCUGUGAAGGCGUGGGACGAAUUGAAGGCUUCCAGUAUCGCCACAUACCUUGGUCUCCUUGUUCGAGAAAUUCAACGGUGGUCCACAAAAUCAACCUUCAGGGUUACUGGUUCUCGUAACCAUGCCAUCACGGGAAGAAACAUGAAAGCGGCCAUUGACUCUUUGUGAAGCAAGUGCUUGCUUAACUUAGAGGUCAUGAAAGGAAGGACUUAUCCUCAAGCUAUUCCUCACUUCCUCCAGCUUUUACUUAAUUGGCAUGUGACUUCUCUCAUGGGAAAGAAUCGAGAGUCAGGGUCAUCUUAAGUUUGUGAUUUGGGGGAAGAAUUGUUAGUCAUCUUAAAUGUCUCUUCUUCUGACAUAUGAGCUUCUCUCCUGUACCAUUUUCUCCUAGAAAUGGAAAGCAAGAACGAGCAAUCCAACUUGAUGGGUAUUUGCCACAAGUUCCUCAAUUCAUUUUCCCGGGGCUCGGCAUUCAGGUGGCUGCGUCACAUUCGGAACGAGUCUAGUCAUUGCAACUCAAAGCUGAUGCCCGUUGCACGUUGUGAAGGAAGCACAAUGGUUGUAGCCACGAAUGCUGCGACAUGUGAUGGCGACCUUGGGAAUGAAAUAAUAGUGGGACAAGGGAUUCAUAUGGUGUCUCAGAAUGAUUUGCAUUCUGAAAUGGAAGAUGAGCCAUAUUUAGUAUCACACGAAGAGGCCUCUUCUGCCUCCCAUCCUGUGAAAGAGAAGUCAUGUGACAAGGAUGCCGCGCUUGCUGACCAAAUGACGCUGGUGAGUGCAGGAAUGGCAAAUUCAGCAACACACAUCGAGAGCCACGUUGAAGAAAACGGUGAGUCACAUUUGAAAGAUGAGGAGGCCAUGACCAAUUCUGCUAUUAAUGAAGUUCAGCCAAAGAAGAAUCACCUACACUCUAGUUUACAACCGGCUGAUACACCAAACAAUCAGUGUGAAAAUGCGGGAGGAGAUUCUCUUACUCAGCUGAAAAAUGGGCCACUCAGAGAGCAAUCUACCUUGCACGAUGACAAACGAGACAGAGGCUCAGACUCGGGGUUCACAGAUAAUGUCAUGGAAGCAAAGAUAAGAGAAAAGGGUCACGUAGAGGCGACAGAAUCCAAGUCGAUGCGCGAUCGGAAACAACCAACGGCAAAGUCCGCGAAACCUCCACGACAAAUACGAAGGCCUUUGGGCCAAAAUGAGCGGCCAAGUGUGUUGAUCAAGAGGAGGAAGACAACCCGCAGAGCAGGAUUAGCUAUGGAUUCAGUCCUGCCGUGACGACGCAUUUCAUGUACAUGAACACUCGCUCCAGUAGCAGUAGAGUUCAUGUUCGUAACGGACGAAUGUUUGGCUCAUUCCCGUGCAGCUGCAUGUGGAAUAGAUUAAGCCGUAAGCCAAUAAACUGCUAAAUUUAGAAGGGACGAGUUGAUUUGACCAGAUCUUUCUGAUGCUAUGUGAUGACACAUCUAAAGAUUUGAUCGUUUCUCUCUCUCUCUCUCUCUCUCUCUGUGUGUGUGUGUGUGUGUGAUCCUUUUGCACACACCUAUCCUACAGAAGGAAAGGGUCUUGAAGAUCGAGCCUUAAUGGGAUU
This is an RNA transcript of Nymphaea colorata (pocket water lily), 3920 nucleotides long. It is a transcript of the gene named F-box/LRR-repeat protein 4, with no coding region annotated. The transcript is spliced from 9 exons. The record is from RefSeq and is a predicted model, not a curated record. Lineage: Eukaryota; Viridiplantae; Streptophyta; Magnoliopsida; Nymphaeales; Nymphaeaceae.